UGGGGAAUAUUGGACAAUGGGCGGAAGCCUGAUCCAGCAACGCCGCGUGAGGGAUGACGGCCUUCGGGUUGUAAACCUCUUUCAGCGGGGACGAAGCGCCGAUGAUGGUGGUGACGGUACCCGCAGAAGAAGCACCGGCCAACUACGUGCCAGCAGCCGCGGUAAUACGUAGGGUGCGAGCGUUGUCCGGAAUUAUUGGGCGUAAAGGGCUCGUAGGCGGUUUGUCGCGUCGGGAGUGAAAACACCGGGCUUAACUCGGUGCUUGCUUUCGAUACGGGCAGACUAGAGGUAUGCAGGGGAGAACGGAAUUCCUGGUGUAGCGGUGAAAUGCGCAGAUAUCAGGAGGAACACCGGUGGCGAAGGCGGUUCUCUGGGCAUUACCUGACGCUGAGGAGCGAAAGUGUGGGGAGCGAACAG
Molecule: ribosomal RNA, 417 nt
Filed under: uncultured bacterium
Lineage: Bacteria
Description: bacterial SSU rRNA
Rfam family: Bacterial small subunit ribosomal RNA
Source: RNAcentral